This 846-nucleotide long non-coding RNA is filed under the name Anser brachyrhynchus (Pink-footed goose). RNAcentral's name for it is "lncRNA (ENSABRG00000019167.1)". Lineage: Eukaryota; Metazoa; Chordata; Aves; Anseriformes; Anatidae. The record is from RNAcentral.
CCCAAAACUUCACUAAUGACAGGUAGGGAGUUGCUGCACUGGAGAGUUUGGCUCUGCUUGGUAGUAUUUUCCCAGGUACACAUAAUCUGGAUGCAGUGCAGUCAUGGAACAAUAAGUAUGGUAGCAGGGGGACUCUAAGAAAGCAGCGCCUCAAAAAAGUAUUAACAACCUAGGAGGAAAUGUACCCAGAUGAAAGCUUAUGAGCCUCCCACAGCUCAAACAUCACCCAGUUCUUUCUCAUGAGAAUAUGAGUCUAAAAUUGGCAGACCUUUCUAUCUCCUAAACUGAACAGGCUUUCAUUUUAAUCUAGUCCCUGCACCAUCCUUAUCACACUUCCAACAAGCUCCUUGUCAUGGAGUUUCUGUCCCUCACGUUCUGUCCCGACAUCUCCCUACCUAAUUGUUCUUGCUGUUUUGCUUGCAGAAAUGGUGAAAGCAGACAGUCUUCUAAUGGGAAAUCCUCAUUGGAAACCGUGUCACAGCAUGGGGACGGUGAUAAACCUCUUAAGGAAAAGUCUGAGCCAUUGGCAUGGGAUGAGUCCAGAGCAGCCGUGGUUUCCACAAAUGGAAGUUACUCUGAACACACAGAAGCAAACAACGGAUUUUACCCACCAAAGUAAGUUUAAAGUCUAUUAGCAGUAUAAAAUUCACAUUUUUUUUUCUUGAUUUUAGAGUGAGAGGCGUCUUCUCCUGACCUGGUACUGCCCUAACAAAUGUGUUCUGGGAGCAGCACUUGUACGCACUUACAAAGGGGAGUGCCCCUGAUCCACCAGCUCAAAAUGGACCGAGAUCUCUCAGCUUCUUUCCUUGUGCUAGCAUGACUUGGUUGGACUUGUCUUUGCCCUUG